This 521-nucleotide long non-coding RNA is filed under the name Mus caroli (Ryukyu mouse). RNAcentral's name for it is "lncRNA (MGP_CAROLIEiJ_G0002402.1)". Lineage: Eukaryota; Metazoa; Chordata; Mammalia; Rodentia; Muridae. The record is from RNAcentral.
UCUGCUUUUAUUAUUUUGCAUACUGUUUAUUUGAAAAAAAAAUAUAUAUAUAUUACAAUUACAGAUCUGAUCAGCCAGCCUACAGUGUCUCCCCCAACCCAAAUCACCAUGUCUUGAAUUUUGGGUAGUUUAAGUGAUUCCUUCCUUUGCCUGUUAAUUUUAUCCAGACAGGGGAUGUAACUUGGUCUGAAAGCUCUAGCAUAUAUAAGGCUCUGGGUUCAACUCCAGUCUCUCACACACUCUGGAUUCAACUCCAACCCCCCUCCCCCCACCUCACACACACACACACACACAAAUAAAAAAUGUAUGCCCAGUUUAGUUUUCUUAAUAGAAUAAACAGUGUUUGGUCUUUUUUGGUUUUUUGAGACAGGAUCUAACUGUGUAGACCUGUCUGGCCUGCAUCUCACUAUAUAGAAAGACCGUGCUGCCCUCUAACUCACAGACUUCCCCCUCUCACGUGCUAGGAUUAAAUGCAUGCAUACCAUUCCCAGUUUCAACCUAAUUUUUUUUNNNNNNUUUUC